This 266-nucleotide long non-coding RNA is filed under the name Xyrichtys novacula (pearly razorfish). Lineage: Eukaryota; Metazoa; Chordata; Actinopteri; Labriformes; Labridae. The record is from RNAcentral.
UGUGUAGGUAGGCUAUGGUCUCAUGUCCCUUUUAAGACGCUGUCCUACGUCAGAGACGUGACUCCACCCCAUCCAGUCUGUAACAAAGAGGGAAAGACAGGUGAGGAGAUGGAGGACGGAGAGAAAGUUGGAGCGGCUGAAGUAGACGAAGUUAAUGUGGGAGGGGGUGAGCAGCUUGUGGAGUAGUUAUCGUCUAUUUAUCGUUAUCGAGGUGAACUGAUCAAUAUAUCCUGAUAUUGAUUUGAGGCCAUGUUGCCCAGCCCUAG